Long non-coding RNA from Fukomys damarensis (Damara mole-rat), 593 nucleotides. RefSeq lists it as uncharacterized. Lineage: Eukaryota; Metazoa; Chordata; Mammalia; Rodentia; Bathyergidae. The transcript has 5 exons. The record is from RefSeq and is a predicted model, not a curated record.
GGCAGGGAUCCCUUUCCAGUCUGCUAACUGGAUUCACAGAAAAUCUCUAUCUGCAAGCCUCUUCUAACAGACACCCAACACAAAGGAUGAAGUUGUAAGAAGUGGCCUCAGUUGGACCUCCUUCAACUGUACCCCCCUCUCCAAUCUGUACUCUUGAGUUGUCCAAGCUGAUGACCAUGGACUGGAUCACCAAGGCUUUCCAUCCUCUGGCUUGUUCAUCUCUGUUCCUGGACAAGUAGUCAAGACGCCACCUGGAGGGGUAACAUAUCAAACCUGAGAGAGCCUCUAGAGGCCCACUAGUUCUUUCCUUCACAAUAAAUCCAAGAACCACUGAAGAAACAUGCCUUACUCAAAGUCACACAGGUCCUCUGUUCCAGAGAAUAUCUCUUCUGGUUAUUAUCAAAGAACAGAGAACAGCAGAGCUGUCCCCUUCCUUUCUUCCUAUGACAUUCACUUCCUAAGACGAAUGCUCUUCUCUGAAUGUCACAUUAUUGUCUCAUUCAUUAAAAUCAUCCUUCCAGUAAUGUCCCAGGGUCCCAUACAGCAGCACUGUCGAACUGGCAGCAUCUUCACUCCUCCUGGCAGGAAACUCU